Molecule: ribosomal RNA, 501 nt
Filed under: uncultured bacterium
Lineage: Bacteria
Description: partial 16S ribosomal RNA
Rfam family: Bacterial small subunit ribosomal RNA
Source: RNAcentral
AUUGAACGCUGGCGGCAGGCUUAACACAUGCAAGUCGAGCGGGGAAGGUUGCUUCGGUAACUAACCUAGCGGCGGACGGGUGAGUAAUGCUUAGGAAUCUGCCUAUUAGUGGGGGACAACAUUCCGAAAGGGAUGCUAAUACCGCAUACGUCCUACGGGAGAAAGCAGGGGAUUAUUUGACCUUGCGCUAAUAGAUGAGCCUAAGUCGGAUUAGCUAGUUGGUGGGGUAAAGGCCUACCAAGGCGACGAUCUGUAGCGGGUCUGAGAGGAUGAUCCGCCACACUGGGACUGAGACACGGCCCAGACUCCUACGGGAGGUAGCAGUGGGGAAUAUUGGACAAUGGGGGGAACCCUGAUCCAGCCAUGCCGCGUGUGUGAAGAAGGCCUUUUGGUUGUAAAGCACUUUAAGCGAGGAGGAGGCUUACCUGGUUAAUACCUGGGAUAAGUGGACGUUACUCGCAGAAUAAGCACCGGCUAACUCUGUGCCAGCCGCCGCAGUAA